GACGAACCGUGCGAACGUUAUUCGGAAUCACUGGGCUUAAAGCGCGUGUAGGCGGGUCGGUACGUCCGUGCCUGAAAUCCCCCGGCUCAACCGGGGAAUGGGGCGGGAUACGGCCGUCCUGGAGGGACGUAGGGGGACCUGGAACUUCCGGUGGAGCGGUGAAAUGCGUUGAGAUCGGAAGGAACGCCCGUGGCGAAAGCGAGGUCCUGGACGUUUUCUGACGCUGAGACGCGAAAGCCAGGGGAGCGAACGGG
RNAcentral lists this ribosomal RNA (254 nucleotides) under uncultured bacterium. Its description in RNAcentral is "partial 16S ribosomal RNA". It matches the Rfam family "Bacterial small subunit ribosomal RNA", at positions 524 to 776 of the family's 1533-position model. The record is from RNAcentral.